This 253-nucleotide ribosomal RNA is filed under the name uncultured bacterium. Its description in RNAcentral is "partial 16S ribosomal RNA". It matches the Rfam family "Bacterial small subunit ribosomal RNA", at positions 524 to 776 of the family's 1533-position model. The record is from RNAcentral.
UACGUAGGGUGCGAGCGUUAAUCGGAAUUACUGGGCGUAAAGUGUGCGCAGGCGGCCCCGCAUGUCGAGUGUGAAAUCCCCGGGCUUAACUUGGGAAUUGCGCUCGAAACUACGGGGCUAGAGUGUGGCAGAGGGGGGUGGAAUUCCACGUGUAGCGGUGAAAUGCGUAGAGAUGUGGAGGAACACCGAUGGCGAAGGCAGCCUUCUGGGCCAACACUGACGCUCAUGCACGAAAGCGUGGGGAGCAAACAGG